GAUGAACGCUAGCUACAGGCUUAACACAUGCAAGUCGCAGGGUAACAUGAGGAAAGCUUGCUUUCCUUGAUGACGACUGGCGCACGGGUGAGUAACGCUUAUCCAACCUUCCCAUAACUACGGGAUAACCCGUUGAAAGACGGCCUAAUACCGUAUGAUAUCGUUUGCUGACAUCAAAUAACGAUUAAAGGUUUAGCGGUUAUGGAUGGGGAUGCGUCUGAUUAGCUUGUUGGCGGGGUAACGGCCCACCAAGGCGACGAUCAGUAGGGGUUCUGAGAGGAAGGUCCCCCACAUUGGAACUGAGACACGGUCCAAACUCCUACGGGAGGCAGCAGUGAGGAAUAUUGGUCAAUGGGCGAGAGCCUGAACCAGCCAAGUAGCGUGCAGGACGACGGCCCUAUGGGUUGUAAACUGCUUUUAUGUGGGGAUAAAGUGCGUGACGUGUCAUGCAUUGCAGGUACCACAUGAAUAAGGACCGGCUAAUUCCGUG
RNAcentral lists this ribosomal RNA (490 nucleotides) under uncultured bacterium. RNAcentral describes it as "partial 16S ribosomal RNA". It matches the Rfam family "Bacterial small subunit ribosomal RNA", at positions 28 to 507 of the family's 1533-position model. The record is from RNAcentral.